CCGGUUGAUCCUGCCGGAGGCUACCGCUAUUGGAGUUCGAUUAAGCCAUGCGAGUCGCGAGUCUUAGGGACUCGGCGUACCGCUCAGUAACACGUGGGUAACCUGCCCUAUGCUGGGGGAUAACCUCGGGAAACUGAGAAUAAUACCCCAUAGUUCACCAUGCCUGGAACGGUUGGUGGACCAAAGCUCCGGCGGCAUAGGAUGGGCCUGCGGCGUAUCAGGUUGUAGGGGGUGUAAUGUACCCUCUAGCCCUCUACGCGUACGGGUGUUGAGAGACAUCGCCCGGAGAUGGAUUCUGAGACACGAAUCCAGACCCUACGGGGUGCAGCAGGCGCGAAAACUUGGCAAUGCGAGAAAUCGUGACCAGGGAACUCCAAGUGCAUCGGGUAAGACCGAUGCUUUUCUUGACUCUUCAAAGGUCUUGGAAUAAGGGGUGGGUAAGGACGGUGCCAGCCGCCGCGGUAAUACCGGCGCCCCAAGUGGUAGUCGCUUUUAUUGGGCCUAAAACGUCCGUAGCCGGUCUGGUACAUUCGUGGGUAAAUCAACCAGCUCAACUGGUUGAAUUCUGCGAGCACGGCCAGACUUGGGACCGGGAGAGGUGUGGGGUACUCUCAGGGUAGGGGUAAAAUCCUGUCAUCCUGAGAGGACCACCUGUUGCGAAGGCGCCACACUAGAACGGAUCCGACGGUCAGGGACGAAGCCUAGGGGCACGAACCGGAUUAGAUACCCGGGUAGUCCUAGGUGUAAACGCUGUGGACUUGAUGUUGGGGGCGCUCCGAGCGCACUCAGUGUCGAAGCGAAGGUGAUAAGUCCACUGCCUGGGGAGUACGGUCGCAAGGCUGAAACUUAAAGGAAUUGGCGGGGGAGCACCGCAACCUGAGGAUUGUGCGGUUUAAUUGGAUCAACGCCGG
RNAcentral lists this ribosomal RNA (911 nucleotides) under uncultured archaeon. RNAcentral's name for it is "bacterial SSU rRNA". It matches the Rfam family "Archaeal small subunit ribosomal RNA", at positions 4 to 921 of the family's 1478-position model. The record is from RNAcentral.